CCAGACUCCUACGGGAGGCAGCAGUGGGGAAUAUUGGACAAUGGACCGAGAGUCUGAUCCAGCAAUUCUGUGUGCACGAUGAAGUUUUUCGGAAUGUAAAGUGCUUUCAGUUGGGAAGAAAGAAAUGACGGUACCAACAGAAGAAGUGACGGCUAAAUACGUGCCAGCAGCCGCGGUAAUACGUAUGUCACGAGCGUUAUCCGGAUUUAUUGGGCGUAAAGCGCGUCUAGGUGGUUAUGUAAGUCUGAUGUGAAAAUGCAGGGCUCAACUCUGUAUUGCGUUGGAAACUGUAUAACUAGAGUACUGGAGAGGUAAGCGGAACUACAAGUGUAGAGGUGAAAUUCGUAGAUAUUUGUAGGAAUGCCGAUGGGGAAGCCAGCUUACUGGACAGAUACUGACGCUGAAGCGCGAAAGCGUGGGUAGCAAACAGGAUUAGAUACCCUGGUAGUCCACGCCGUAAACGAUGAUUACUAGGUGUUGGGGGUCGAACCUCAGCGCCCAAGCAAACGCGAUAAGUAAUCCGCCUGGGGAGUACGUACGCAAGUAUGAAACUCAAAGGAAUUGACGGGGGCCCGCACAAG
RNAcentral lists this ribosomal RNA (581 nucleotides) under uncultured bacterium. Its description in RNAcentral is "bacterial SSU rRNA". It matches the Rfam family "Bacterial small subunit ribosomal RNA", at positions 331 to 929 of the family's 1533-position model. The record is from RNAcentral.